UUUCCGUAGGUGAACCUGCGGAAGGAUCAUUACUGAGUGAGGGCCCCUCGGGGUCCAACCUCCCACCCGUGUUUAACGAACCUUGUUGCUUCGGCGGGCCCGCCUCACGGCCGCCGGGGGGCAUCCGUCCCCGGGCCCGCGCCCGCCGAAGCCACCUGUGAACGCUGUCUGAAGUAUGCAGUCUGAGACAAUUAUUAAAUUAAUUAAAACUUUCAACAACGGAUCUCUUGGUUCCG
This 236-nucleotide unclassified non-coding RNA is filed under the name plant metagenome. RNAcentral describes it as "partial contains small subunit ribosomal RNA, internal transcribed spacer 1, and 5.8S ribosomal RNA". The record is from RNAcentral.